GGCACCAUGGCGGAGUGGUUACGCAGCGGAUUGCAAAUCCGUGUACCCCGGUUCGAUUCCGGGUGGUGCCUCCA
Molecule: transfer RNA, 74 nt
Filed under: Robiginitomaculum sp.
Lineage: Bacteria; Pseudomonadati; Pseudomonadota; Alphaproteobacteria; Maricaulales; Robiginitomaculaceae
Description: tRNA-Cys
Rfam family: tRNA
About the family: Transfer RNA (tRNA) molecules are approximately 80 nucleotides in length. Their secondary structure includes four short double-helical elements and three loops (D, anti-codon, and T loops).
Source: RNAcentral